RNAcentral lists this ribosomal RNA (215 nucleotides) under Staphylococcus pseudintermedius. RNAcentral describes it as "partial 16S ribosomal RNA". It matches the Rfam family "Bacterial small subunit ribosomal RNA", at positions 1 to 208 of the family's 1533-position model. The record is from RNAcentral. Lineage: Bacteria; Bacillati; Bacillota; Bacilli; Caryophanales; Staphylococcaceae.
UUUUAUGGAGAGUUUGAUCCUGGCUCAGGAUGAACGCUGGCGGCGUGCCUAAUACAUGCAAGUCGAGCGAACAGAUAAGGAGCUUGCUCCUUUGACGUUAGCGGCGGACGGGUGAGUAAACCGUGGGUAACCUACAUAUAAGACUGGAAUAACUCCGGGAAACCGGGGCUAAUGCCGGAUAACAUGUUGAACAGAAUGGUUCUACAGUGAAAGAC